CAGCAGCCGCGGUAAUACAGAGGGUGCAAGCGUUAAUUGGAAUUACUGGGCGUAAAGCGCGCGUAGGUGGUUCGCCAAGUUGGAUGUGAAAUCCCCGGGCUCAACCUGGGAACUGCAUCCAAAACUGGCGAGCUAGAGUAUGGUAGAGGGUGGUGGAAUUUCCUGUGUAGCGGUGAAAUGCGUAGAUAUAGGAAGGAACAUCAGUGGCGAAGGCGGCCAUCUGGGACAACACUGACGCUGAGGCACGAAAGCGUGGGGAGCAAGCAGGAUUAGAUACCCGCGUAGUCCCUGUCUCUUAUAC
Molecule: ribosomal RNA, 301 nt
Filed under: uncultured bacterium
Lineage: Bacteria
Description: partial 16S ribosomal RNA
Rfam family: Bacterial small subunit ribosomal RNA
Source: RNAcentral